RNAcentral lists this long non-coding RNA (1198 nucleotides) under Serinus canaria (Common canary). RNAcentral describes it as "lncRNA (ENSSCAG00000004923.1)". The record is from RNAcentral. Lineage: Eukaryota; Metazoa; Chordata; Aves; Passeriformes; Fringillidae.
GUCCCCAGGCACACAGGGAGGUGGGGAAACUGGGAAAGGUGGGGAAACUGGGAAAGGUGGGAAAGCUGGGAAAGGUGGCAGCUGGGGAAACUGGGAGUUAGGAAAGCUGGAAAAGCUGGGAGAUGGGAAAGGUGGGAAUUGGAAAAGGUGGGAGCUGGAAAAAUUUGGAGCAGGGAAAGCUGGGAAUUGGUGAAGCUGAGAGCUGGGAAAGCUGGGAGCAGGGAAAGCUGGAAGAUGGAAAAAUUUGGAGCAGGGAAAGGUGGGAGCUGGAAAAGAUGGGAGCAGGGAAAGGUGGAAAAGCUGGGAGUUGGGAAAGAUGGAAGAUGGAAAAGCUGGGAAAGCUGGAAGAUGGAAAAGGUGGGAGCAGGGAAAGGUGGGAGCUGGAAAAGGUGGGAGCAGGGAAAGGUGGAAAAGCUGGGAGUUGGGANNNNNNNNNNNNNNNNNNNNGCCAUUCCAGGAGCAGCAGAUCCGGGCUGGGAGGAGCAGGGAAGGACGGAGAUGUGCCCUGGAAGGGGAGGCAGAGCCGGGAUCCUCGGGGAGUUGGUUAUUUAUAACCACAGCCCUCGCCGCGCUGCAGGAGAAGCCGGGAUGGGGCGGGCCGGGGAUUCCUCGGGAUGAAAGGAGCUGGGAAACGGCGGCCAGGAGGGGCUGGCAGGGUGGGGACUGCCAUUGUCACCCGCCAGCUGUGCCUCUUGCCCUGCCCAGCCCUGCUGCAGGUCCCUCCUCACACAUCCCACCCGCGUCCUGGUGCUCUGGGAGAGGCGUGGGAUGGAAUUCUUUGUCCCCUCUGGCAAAGCACGGAGAAGGGUGAAAUGAAGGUGGGAAGAGAAGUGUGGAUUCACCGUGGAUAUCUCCCAAGGCUGAAUGAUGCUGGGACACCAGGAAGGGCUCCCCAGCCCUUUUUCCUCCCCCGCUGGGAGCACCAGCCCGGAGCUGGGAUUGGGAACAAACACCGUGUGCCCACUGACCCCCACUCUCACAGACUCCCGACCUUCCCAAAGCCAGGAACCUCCCUGGAGCUCUGUUCCCAGCAGGGAACACCCUGCCCAGCUCCUCUGGCUGCUGGGGACACUCCGAGCCCUCAGGGCCAGCCCGGCAGCCGGCCAAGGGCUUUUUAUCAACUGGCACCCAAAAGUCAAUCAGGAAGAUGCCGCCUGUUUUAAUUAACAGCAAUUUCGCUCUGCCGGGGGUGAGCCAC